CCCAAAGUAUCAAUUUAUUUCAUUCUAUACAGUUAAACAACAUUGGCAUCAAGCUUUAAGCGAUGGCCCCAACUUUUGCAAGGUCUUCAAGGGCCUUAAAGAUCUGCGCUGCCUCAGUUUAACCUUCCAAUCAAAUGCACAUCUCAACGCCCAUAUCAUAUCUAGCCCAUAAUUGAGGCUCGAUUCCACUAGACUCACGGAUCAGGAUCGGAAGCUUAGCGCUCAGAGUCUUGAGAUCCUUGUAAUUUUUCUUCACGAAUGCUCUAGUCGAUGAUCUUGAAGGUGAAGAUUGGCACAGCAGAAUACGAAACUCCUUAAGAUUCCGAGAAAGUUGCCCUCUCCAUGCCAUUUUCUAUUCUCCCGAUUUUUCAAUAUGCUCAAAUGCUUCUCAGCUUCGUUC
This 400-nucleotide unclassified non-coding RNA is filed under the name Hevea brasiliensis (rubber tree). Lineage: Eukaryota; Viridiplantae; Streptophyta; Magnoliopsida; Malpighiales; Euphorbiaceae. The record is from RNAcentral.